This 514-nucleotide ribosomal RNA is filed under the name uncultured bacterium. RNAcentral's name for it is "partial 16S ribosomal RNA". It matches the Rfam family "Bacterial small subunit ribosomal RNA", at positions 28 to 523 of the family's 1533-position model. The record is from RNAcentral.
GAUGAACGCUGGCGGCGUGCCUAAUACAUGCAAGUCGAGCGCGAGAUUGAGGAGCUUGCUCCUCAUGAUCGAGCGGCGGACGGGUGAGUAACACGUAGGCAACCUACCCUUGAGAUUGGGAUAACUACCGGAAACGGUAGCUAAUACCGGAUACGACUUUCCUGCAUAAGCAGUUAAGUUAAAAGGCGGAUUUAUCUGCCGCUCAUGGAUGGGCCUGCGGUGCAUUAGCUAGUUGGUGAGAUAGUGGCUCACCAAGGCGACGAUGCAUAGCCGACCUGAGAGGGUGAUCGGCCACACUGGGACUGAGACACGGCCCAGACUCCUACGGGAGGCAGCAGUAGGGAAUCUUCCGCAAUGGACGCAAGUCUGACGGAGCAACGCCGCGUGAGUGAUGAAGGGUUUCGGCUCGUAAAACUCUGUUGUUAAGGAAGAACACUUGAGGUAGUAACUGGCCUUGAGAUGACGGUACUUAACCAGAAAGCCACGGCUAACUACGUGCCAGCAGCCGCGGUAA